Molecule: transfer RNA, 75 nt
Filed under: Candidatus Daviesbacteria bacterium RIFCSPHIGHO2_12_FULL_43_11
Lineage: Bacteria; Candidatus Daviesiibacteriota
Also listed under: 2 other names
Description: tRNA-Thr
Rfam family: tRNA
About the family: Transfer RNA (tRNA) molecules are approximately 80 nucleotides in length.
Source: RNAcentral
GCCAGCGUAGCUCAGUGGCAGAGCAAUGCUUUCGUAAAGCAGAGGUCGUGAGUUCAACCCUCACCGCUGGCUCAA